This 497-nucleotide ribosomal RNA is filed under the name uncultured bacterium. RNAcentral's name for it is "partial 16S ribosomal RNA". It matches the Rfam family "Bacterial small subunit ribosomal RNA", at positions 28 to 507 of the family's 1533-position model. The record is from RNAcentral.
GAUGAACGCUGGCGGCGUGCCUAAUACAUGCAAGUAGAACGCUGAAGGAAGGAGCUUGCUCUUUCCGGAUGAGUUGCGAACGGGUGAGUAACGCGUAGGUAACCUGCCUGGUAGCGGGGGAUAACUAUUGGAAACGAUAGCUAAUACCGCAUAACAGUAGAUGUUGCAUGACAACUAUUUGAAAGGGGCAAUUGCUCCACUACCAGAUGGACCUGCGUUGUAUUAGCUAGUUGGUGAGGUAACGGCUCACCAAGGCGACGAUACAUAGCCGACCUGAGAGGGUGUUCGGCCACACUGGGACUGAGACACGGCCCAGACUCCUACGGGAGGCAGCAGUAGGGAAUCUUCGGCAAUGGACGGAAGUCUGACCGAGCAACGCCGCGUGAGUGAAGAAGGUUUUCGGAUCGUAAAGCUCUGUUGUAAGAGAAGAACGAGUGUGAGAGUGGAAAGUUCACACUGUGACGGUAUCUUACCAGAAAGGGACGGCUAACUACGUG